This 125-nucleotide small RNA is filed under the name Marmota monax (woodchuck). The record is from RNAcentral. Lineage: Eukaryota; Metazoa; Chordata; Mammalia; Rodentia; Sciuridae.
GCUGGGUACGGUAGCGCAUGCCUGUAAUCCCAGCAGCUCGGGAGGCCGAGGCAGGAGGAUUGCGAGUUCAAAGCCAGCCUCAGCAAAAUCAAGGCACUAAGCAACUCAGUGAGACUCUGUCUCUA